AUUUAAGAAAGCACUUAACCACUUUUUCUAUCUCAGAUAUUCUAAAAUGUAAUUUCAUUAAUUUUAUUAAUCAUAGAAUUUCUGUAACUAAUAUUUAAUAUUGUGUUUGACAAGAGGUUAUAGGGUAUUUUUAUUUUUGUAGCUAUUAAUUUAUUGACAUUUUGCCUUGUGGGCCAUAUAUAAUAUUUUGUUUUCUUUCUUCAGAUAAUUGGCAGCCUGAAAGGUAUAAUAUAAUCCAAUACAAACCUAACUAGCUGAUAGAAUUUGAUAAUUCAAAGAAUAAAGAUGAUGAAUAAUUUAGAAAUUAGAGGUGAGGAAAAAUGAGAAAAAAUUGGAGAUGACAUAAUGUUUCCAAAAUUUGGUCAAAACUAUGGCAAGAGAAGAAAAAUGAGUCCAAAUGGGAGAAGAGGUACUUGAAAGAAGAAAGAAGAAAAAGUAGGAACUUGAUGUUCUAGUGGUCAAAAUGCUUUCUUGGGUAAUUCCUAGAAAAUAUGCCUAGGAGCAAAAUGGACACUAAUUACCUAUUUACUGGUUCUAUACCAGUGCAAAACAUUCAUUCCUCACCAAACCCAAAAGACCAAUAAUCAAAACUACCAUAAUUGUCCUAGUCCUGUCUACAUCUGAAGGUGAAAAGAAGUGUAUUCUCCUCAUUUUUCAGAUGAGUCAACCAUAACCUUUGAAGAGUGCCUGGGACAUAAUGAUUGCUUCAGAAUAGAUGUAUAAAUGAAUGAGUAGUUAAACCAAGGUCAAACAGCUGGUAUCAGGAGAAGAAUUAGGGGCCUGUGGAUACUGAAAACAAAACAAUGAAAGAACAAGACCUCUGAUAGAUUUCAUGGGCUUCUUGGAGGACCAACAUCAGUCAAUGGAAGUGUGAUGACUUAUCAGAGGCUUCCUUGGUUGCAGUACAGAAGAUGCAAUGCCAGCAGUGCUUUUUCAGGAGCUCCCUCUGAAGAAGAUCAUGGCUCAGUUACCAUGGACACCAAGAAGCUAUGCAGCUUUUUAUUCUUUUUACUUCCUUCAUUAUGUGCCCUCCCAGGAAAUAUAUUUUCAUUAGUAACUAGGUUUUGAAACUUUUGCCAAGACACCAGCCUAACCUAUUGCUCUCUAAACAAAUACCUUCAGUAUCUAAUACAUAGGUAUAUGCCAGUCUGAGCCAACUGUGCUAUUAGGAAACUAAUAAAUACUCCUUUGCUUCCUAUUUAAUGAGAAAAAGCACGACAAUAUUGCUCAUGCCAGAUCAGGUUUUGAUUGGUAUGUGCUUAUCCUUCAUAAACAAAUGUAUUUUAUAUGAAAAACCACAGGGGAAAUAUUUUUAUUUAUUUUAUUAGUUGUACAAAAGCCAUGUUGGCAACUGAAGAACCAAUAAAAUAAAAUUGUCUCAUGUGGUUCUUAUUAUGGAAUCAAAUAGUAAUGUAAAAGGCAAGCACACACCAAUCAUAAUUCCAUCUGGCUGAAAGAACAGGAAAAUGUGGCUCCAUUUUCAUUAGGAAAAGGAGGCAUAUAUUUCAUAAUGUGUUCAAAUGUGGCUCUAAAGGUACUCCCAGUACACUACUGCAUUUUGUACCACUCACGGGGUGCCAUAUCUACUGAUGCAGGUUAAUGUAAUCAAAGUGACUUGAAAGGAGAGGACUGCUGUUAGCCUUGCAUCUGCAUUAAUAGAGCACCAACAGAAGCUAGAGCAACAUUUCUUGGCAUUCUGGAAAGAAAUGCAUGUUGAACCAGUAAGCAAUAUGUAUAGCCCUUGCAAUAUACACUUGGCAUAUUUGCAGCAAGUAAGUUGCCAUUCAUGUAACCACCAAAAAUACAUUCCAGAAUGUUUACUCUUUUCAGUAAGCAGAUAAUACCAUUCAAGCUCUGGACUUAAAAGAUUGCAUGCAUAAAUAUUUUCUAAAUUCCUUUAGUGCUGUUUUUGGUUUAUCUUCAAGGAAAUAUAAGGGUAGCUAUUAUCAAUAGAAGGUAGGUAUUCAUUUGUAAGAGGUUGGGUCAGCAAGACACUGCACUAUUGAAUCAUGUCUGGGACAACAUGGAGUGGUCAUUUGGGCCUCUGGGAAGUGUGGCAUGGAAGAGUAGUUCUUUAUUAAGAACAAGAAAGUAGCUAGCCCUGAGAAUAAAGGUUGAUUUGCUUUUCUGAAACUGGUUUUCUAGCCUCUGUUGGUGAUUUGUUUUUGAAGUCUUGCUUUUUUUUCUUUCUCUUAAUCUGCUUGUGAGUAGAUGACUAAGUGAUCACGUCACCUAGAAAUGUGUGUGAAUCUCCUGAUUUUUGACUCAUGUGUGCCACAACUAGGAUGGAAUGAUUUCCCUAUCCUGAACUUGUUUGGGAGUGCAGAAAAAAUGAUGUAAGUUUUUGACAUAUUUUGUUAAAUAGGUAUGAGACUUAUGUAUGACACAUUUACUUGGCAGAAAAGUAAGUGCAGGAAGGGACUCAAGUCACACAAAAGCUCUGGAUUUAUAAUCCUACUUAAACAUCUACACAUUUUGUAAAUUCACUUAAAAUAU
This 2496-nucleotide long non-coding RNA is filed under the name Pan troglodytes (chimpanzee). RNAcentral describes it as "lncRNA (ENSPTRG00000053343.1)". Lineage: Eukaryota; Metazoa; Chordata; Mammalia; Primates; Hominidae. The record is from RNAcentral.